GCGGCAAUCGUCUAGUGGUUUAGGAUCUCACCUUCCCAAGGUGAGGACGGGAGUUCGAACCUCCCUUGUCGCA
Molecule: transfer RNA, 73 nt
Filed under: Malassezia sympodialis ATCC 42132
Lineage: Eukaryota; Fungi; Basidiomycota; Malasseziomycetes; Malasseziales; Malasseziaceae
Description: tRNA-Gly (CCC) (tRNA-Gly-CCC-1-1)
Rfam family: tRNA
About the family: Transfer RNA (tRNA) molecules are approximately 80 nucleotides in length.
Source: RNAcentral